Molecule: ribosomal RNA, 253 nt
Filed under: uncultured bacterium
Lineage: Bacteria
Description: partial 16S ribosomal RNA
Rfam family: Bacterial small subunit ribosomal RNA
Source: RNAcentral
UACGGAGGAUGCAAGCGUUAUCCGGAAUGAUUGGGCGUAAAGCGUCCGCAGGUGGCAAUGUAAGUCUGCUGUCAAAGCGUCUGGCUCAACCAGAUACUGGCAGUGGAAACUACAUAGCUAGAGUAAGGUAGGGGUAGAGGGAAUUCCUGGUGUAGCGGUGAAAUGCGUAGAGAUCAGGAAGAACACCGGUGGCGAAGGCGCUCUGCUGGACCUUAACUGACACUGAGGGACGAAAGCUAGGGGAGCGAAUGGG